UCCCUGAUGUUAGCGGCGGACGGGUGAGUAACACGUGGGUAASCUGCCUGKAAGACUGGGAUAACUCCGGGAAACCGGGGCUAAUACCGGAUGGUKGUUUGARCCGCRUGGUUCAGACAKAAAAGGUGGCUUCGGSUACSACUUACAGAUGGACCCGCGGCGSAUUAGCUAGUUGGUGAGGUAACGGSUCACCAAGGSRACGAUGCGUAGCCGACCUGAGAGGGUGAUSGGCCACACUGGGACUGAGACACGGCCCAGACUMCUACGGGAGGCAGCAGUAGGGAAUCUUCCGCAAUGGACGAAAGUCUGACGGAGCAACGCCGCGUGAGUGAUGAAGGUUUUCGGAUCGUAAAGCUCUGUUGUUAGGGAAGAACAAGUGCCGUUCAAAUAGGGCGGCACCUUGACGGUACCUAACCAGAAAGCCACGGCUAACUACGUGCCAGCAGCCGCGGUAAUACGUAGGUGGCAAGCGUUGUCCGGAAUUAUUGGGCGUAAAGGGCUCGCAGGCGGUUUCUUAAGUCUGAUGUGAAAGCCCCCGGCUCAACCGGGGAGGGUCAUUGGAAACUGGGGAACUUGAGUGCAGAAGAGGAGAGUGGAAUUCCACGUGUAGCGGUGAAAUGCGUAGAGAUGUGGAGGAACACCAGUGGCGAAGGCGACUCUCUGGUCUGUAACUGACGCUGAGGAGCGAAAGCGUGGGGAGCGAACAGGAUUAGAUACCCUGGUAGUCCACGCCGUAAACGAUGAGUGCUAAGUGUUAGGGGGUUUCCGCCCCCUUAGUGCUGCAGCUAACGCAUUAAGCACUCCGCCUGGGGAGUACGGUCGCAAGACUGAAACUCAAAGGAAUUGACGGGGGCCCGCACAAGCGGUGGAGCAUGUGGUUUAAUUCGAAGCAACGCGAAGAACCUUACCAGGUCUUGACAUCCUCUGACAUCCUAGAGAUAGGACGUCCYC
RNAcentral lists this ribosomal RNA (951 nucleotides) under Bacillus amyloliquefaciens. RNAcentral's name for it is "bacterial SSU rRNA". It matches the Rfam family "Bacterial small subunit ribosomal RNA", at positions 83 to 1018 of the family's 1533-position model. Lineage: Bacteria; Bacillati; Bacillota; Bacilli; Caryophanales; Bacillaceae. The record is from RNAcentral.